AAUUCCUCAUUUCCACCUAACCCAUCUUCAGUUCAAAAAAAAAAAAAAAAACCCUAGUUUCUCUCAACUCUCAACACAUCCAGUCCGGCCGACAUCAUCCAGUUCCACCGUCACAUCCCUCAUCCGCCGACAUCACCGUCCGCCGCAGGCCGCCACUCCACCAGCAUCACCGUCCGCCGUAUAGCCGCUCCACCGUAGUGCCGUACAGCCGCUCCACCUUAGUGCCGUACAACCGCUCCACCGGGUUUGACCCUGUACAAGCGAUAAGUGAAUGGGCUGGAUUUGACCCUGUACAAGGUUUGGUCUACCAAGCUAGUUAUGGACCUUUCAUAUAUUUUAGUGGGCUACUGAUAAGCGAAUGGGCUGGAUUUGACCCUGUACAAGGUUUGGUCUACCGAGCCAGGUUGGGCUUGAAUAUUGUUGUGUGAAAUCAGUAAACCGUCGUAAACAGAGGACUAUGCACCGGGUGUGGGUUCAUGGGAAGUUCCAAAAACCCAUGUCAUCUGUUCCAUCAGUUUGUUGCUGUUCAAUCACAAUUGAUGACUACAAGAAGUAAAAUACUGAUUAAAGACGUGGUCUGUAAAUCAACACAAAGCAAGAAGAUAAUUGGUAGUAGUCAUCCAUGGCUGCAAAUCUUUGUUGUCUGAAUGGAAAUGAUAUGUAAGCAAGAAAUAUAGAAGCUUGGGGAAACUACUGCUAACUGCUGCAAUAUGGGAGCGUAGAGAAAGAUAGGGGAGUGGAGUUAUUUCAAGGGAGUGAGGAGUUUACAGGGAACUGCUGAGAACUGCCAAGAUAGCAGUUAAUUUUGUGAGUCGUGGAGUGGAGAUAGUGGGCAGCAAAAGGUGGAGGUAACCACCCGCUUCAAAAACCGACCAUAACCUCCGGGAACCGCCAUUAGAGUGGUUAUUUUUGGGAAUUUAAACAGCUGAGAUUUCAUCUCAGCAUGAUCCUACGGUGAAUAUUGAUUUGCAAAACGGUUAGACUUAAUGGGUUUAAUAUAUAUAUAUAUAUAUAU
This is a long non-coding RNA of Helianthus annuus (common sunflower), 1015 nucleotides long. RefSeq lists it as uncharacterized. The record is from RefSeq and is a predicted model, not a curated record. The transcript has 6 exons. NCBI's taxonomy places the organism in Eukaryota, Viridiplantae, Streptophyta, Magnoliopsida, Asterales, Asteraceae.